This 495-nucleotide ribosomal RNA is filed under the name uncultured bacterium. RNAcentral's name for it is "bacterial SSU rRNA". It matches the Rfam family "Bacterial small subunit ribosomal RNA", at positions 25 to 518 of the family's 1533-position model. The record is from RNAcentral.
CAGGACGAACGCUGGCGGCGUGCCUAACACAUGCAAGUCGAACGGAACUCUUUGGAACAAGGCUUCGGCCAAGGGAAUUUGAGUUUAGUGGCGGACGGGUGAGUAACGCGUGAGCAACCUGCCCUUCGGAGGGGGACAACAGUUGGAAACGACUGCUAAUACCGCAUGACAUACAGAGAUCGCAUGGUCAUUGUAUCAAAGAUUUAUCGCCGAAGGAUGGGCUCGCGUCUGAUUAGCUGGUUGGUGAGGUAACGGCUCACCAAGGCGACGAUCAGUAGCCGGACUGAGAGGUUGAACGGCCACAUUGGGACUGAGAUACGGCCCAGACUCCUACGGGAGGCAGCAGUGGGGAAUAUUGGGCAAUGGGGGCAACCCUGAACCCCCAGCAACGCCGCGUGAAGGAAGAAGGCUUUCGGGUUGUAAACUUCUUUUAUCAGGGACGAUAAUGACGGUACCUGAUGAAUAAGCCACGGCUAACUACGUGCCAGCAGCUGC